This 490-nucleotide ribosomal RNA is filed under the name uncultured bacterium. RNAcentral describes it as "partial 16S ribosomal RNA". It matches the Rfam family "Bacterial small subunit ribosomal RNA", at positions 30 to 507 of the family's 1533-position model. The record is from RNAcentral.
AUUGAACGCUGGCGGCAGGCCUAACACAUGCAAGUCGAACGGUAACAGGAAGCAGCUUGCUGCUUCGCUGACGAGUGGCGGACGGGUGAGUAAUGUCUGGGAAACUGCCUGAUGGAGGGGGAUAACUACUGGUAACGGUAGCUAAUACCGCAUAACGUCGCAAGACCAAAGAGGGGGACCUUAGGGCCUCUUGCCAUCGGAUGUGCCCAGAUGGGAUUAGCUAGUAGGUGGGGUAACGGCUCACCUAGGCGACGAUCCCUAGCUGGUCUGAGAGGAUGACCAGCCACACUGGAACUGAGACACGGUCCAGACUCCUACGGGAGGCAGCAGUGGGGAAUAUUGCACAAUGGGCGCAAGCCUGAUGCAGCCAUGCCGCGUGUAUGAAGAAGGCCUUCGGGUUGUAAAGUACUUUCAGCGGGGAGGAAGGGAGUAAAGUUAAUACCUUUGCUCAUUGACGUUACCCGCAGAAGAAGCACCGGCUAACUCCGUG